AGGAUUAACGCUGGCGGCGUGCAUGAAACAUGCAAGUCGAGCGCGGUGUGAUGCGGGGUAACCCAAUUCACAUCUAGCGGCGAACGGGUGAGUAACACGUGAGCAACCUACCUUUGAGUUGGGGAUAGCCCUGGGAAACCAGGAUUAAUACCCGAUGUGGUCACAACAGGACAUCCUGAUGUGAGUAAAGGCGUAAGCCGCUCAAUGACGGGCUCGCGGCCUAUUAGCUUGUUGGUGGGGUAACGGCCUACCAAGGCGACGACGGGUAGCCGGCCUGAGAGGGUGACCGGCCACACUGGGACUGAGACACGGCCCAGACUCCUACGGGAGGCAGCAGUGGGGAAUAUUGCACAAUGGGCGCAAGCCUGAUGCAGCAACGCCGCGUGAGGGACGACGGCCUUCGGGUUGUAACCUCUUUAGUAGGGAAGAAGCGAAAGUGACGGUACUGCAGAAAAGCACCGGCUAACUACGUGCCAGCAGCCGC
This 484-nucleotide ribosomal RNA is filed under the name uncultured bacterium. Its description in RNAcentral is "SSU rRNA". It matches the Rfam family "Bacterial small subunit ribosomal RNA", at positions 26 to 518 of the family's 1533-position model. The record is from RNAcentral.